UACGGAGGGUGCAAGCGUUGUCCGGAUUUAUUGGGUUUAAAGGGUGCGUAGGCGGAUUGUUAAGUCAGUGGUGAAAGUCUGCGGCUCAACCGUAGAAGUGCCAUUGAUACUGGCAGUCUUGAGUACAGUAGAGGUAGGCGGAAUUUAUGGUGUAGCGGUGAAAUGCAUAGAUACCAUAAAGAACACCUAUAGCGAAGGCAGCUUACUAUGCUGUAACUGACGCUGAGGCACGAAAGCGUGGGGAGCGAACAGG
RNAcentral lists this ribosomal RNA (253 nucleotides) under uncultured bacterium. RNAcentral's name for it is "partial 16S ribosomal RNA". It matches the Rfam family "Bacterial small subunit ribosomal RNA", at positions 524 to 776 of the family's 1533-position model. The record is from RNAcentral.